Long non-coding RNA from Astyanax mexicanus (Mexican tetra), 535 nucleotides. RefSeq lists it as uncharacterized. The transcript is spliced from 3 exons. The record is from RefSeq and is a predicted model, not a curated record. Lineage: Eukaryota; Metazoa; Chordata; Actinopteri; Characiformes; Acestrorhamphidae.
UGCCCCCAGAGUAGUGACGAGUAAGAAAAAUUGUUAAUGUUUCUCUUUACACAUUUUGUUCAGACUGUUUUACACCAAUCCAGUAGGUGGCGGUAACUCCCCCAUUUCUGUUCUUAGCUUGUGGAAAGAAUAAGAAUCAGGGGAAAGUUACUUGAGAAAAUGGGUAAAAAAGAAGACAAGGAGCGAAAACGGAAGAAAACGGCGGUAACAUUGUUACUAAUAUUGGUGACUUGUUCAAAAAAAGGCCCAAAAUCGUAGAGAGAUAGACAAUAAAGGACAGCAACAUCAGAGACAGACAAUGGAGGGCAGCAACAGAGACAAUGGAACAAAGCAACAGACAACUGAGUGGGGAGCAACAGACGAAGAAAUAAGGACAGCAACAACAGAUUCACAACAAACUUAUAAUAAAUAAAAUAUGUCUAAAUUAAAAGGUUUGAAGUGUGCUCGUGUAUUUAGGGGGCAUUGGAGUAGAGAGCCAAAUGAAGUCCACUUUUGGGGGAAAAAGAUCCCCCCCCAUCACAAUGCUGGCUACGGG